GACGAACGCUGGCGGCGUGCCUAAUACAUGCAAGUUGAGCGAUGAAGAUUGGUGCUUGCACCAAUUUGAAGAGCAGCGAACGGGUGAGUAACGCGUGGGGAAUCUGCCUUUGAGCGGGGGACAACAUUUGGAAACGAAUGCUAAUACCGCAUAACAACUUUAAACAUAAGUUUUAAGUUUGAAAGAUGCAAUUGCAUCACUCAAAGAUGAUCCCGCGUUGUAUUAGCUAGUUGGUGAGGUAAAGGCUCACCAAGGCGAUGAUACAUAGCCGACCUGAGAGGGUGAUCGGCCACAUUGGGACUGAGACACGGCCCAAACUCCUACGGGAGGCAGCAGUAGGGAAUCUUCGGCAAUGGACGAAAGUCUGACCGAGCAACGCCGCGUGAGUGAAGAAGGUUGUCGGAUCGUAAAACUCGGUUGGAAGAGAAGAACGUUGGUGAGAGUGGAAAGCUCAUCAAGUGACGGUAACUACCCAGAAAGGGACGGCUAACUACGUG
This 497-nucleotide ribosomal RNA is filed under the name uncultured bacterium. Its description in RNAcentral is "partial 16S ribosomal RNA". It matches the Rfam family "Bacterial small subunit ribosomal RNA", at positions 28 to 507 of the family's 1533-position model. The record is from RNAcentral.